CUAAAAUGAGAGUUUGAUCCUGGCUCAGGACGAACGCUGGCGGCGUGCCUAAUACAUGCAAGUCGAACGCUUUUUUCAAUCAUCGUAGCUUGCUACACCGAUUGAAAAUUGAGUGGCGAACGGGUGAGUAACACGUGGGUAACCUGCCCAAAAGAGGGGGAUAACACUUGGAAACAGGUGCUAAUACCGCAUAACCAUGAUGACCGCAUGGUCAUUAUGUAAAAGAUGGUUUCGGCUAUCACUUUUGGAUGGACCCGCGGCGUAUUAACUUGUUGGUGGGGUAACGGCCUACCAAGGUAAUGAUACGUAGCCGAACUGAGAGGUUGAUCGGCCACAUUGGGACUGAGACACGGCCCAAACUACUACGGGAGGCAGCAGUAGGGAAUCUUCCUCAAUGGGAGCAAGCAUGAUGGAGCAACGCCGCG
RNAcentral lists this ribosomal RNA (425 nucleotides) under Ligilactobacillus agilis. Its description in RNAcentral is "bacterial SSU rRNA". It matches the Rfam family "Bacterial small subunit ribosomal RNA", at positions 1 to 401 of the family's 1533-position model. The record is from RNAcentral. Lineage: Bacteria; Bacillati; Bacillota; Bacilli; Lactobacillales; Lactobacillaceae.